Molecule: long non-coding RNA, 1125 nt
Filed under: Salmo salar (Atlantic salmon)
Lineage: Eukaryota; Metazoa; Chordata; Actinopteri; Salmoniformes; Salmonidae
Description: lncRNA (ENSSSAG00000096181.1)
Source: RNAcentral
UGGGUAUGGGCUGAGUGGUUAGAGAGAGAGAGACCAUCUGGGUAAGGGCUGAGUGUGGUUAGAGAGAGAGAGAGAGACCAUCUGGGUAGGGGCUGAGUGGUUAGAGAGAGAGACCAUCUGGGUAGGGGCUGAGUGGUUAGAGAGAGAGACCAUCUGGGUAGGGGCUGAGUGGUUAGAGAGAGAGAGACCAUCUGGGUAGGGGCUGAGUGGUUAGAGAGAGAGAGAGACCAUCUGGGUAGGGGCUGAGUGGUUAGAGAGAGAGAGACCAUCUGGGUAGGGGCUGAGUGGUUAGAGAGAGAGACCAUCUGGGUAGGGGCUGAGUGGUUAGAGAGAGAGAGACCAUCUGGGUAGGGGCUGAGUGGUUAGAGAGAGAGAGACUAUCUGGGUAGGGGCUGAGUGGUUAGAGAGAGAGAGACCAUCUGGGUAGGGGCUGAGUGGUUAGAGAGAGAGAGACCAUCUGGGUAGGGGCUGAGUGGUUAGAGAGACCAUCUGGGUAGGGGCUGAGUGGUUAGAGAGAGAGACCAUCUGGGUAGGGGCUGAGUGGUUAGAGAGACCAUCUGGGUAGGGGCUGAGUGGUUAGAGAGAGAGACCAUCUGGGUAGGGGCUGAGUGGUUAGAGAGAGAGAGACCAUCUGGGUAGGGGCUGAGUGGUUAGAGAGAGAGACCAUCUGGGUAGGGGCUGAGUGGAUAGAGAGACCAUCUGGGUAGGGGCUGAGUGGUUAGAGAGAGAGAGACCAUCUGGGUAGGGGCUGAGUGGUUAGAGAGAGAGACCAUCUGGGUAGGGGCUGAGUGGUUAGAGAGAGAGAGACCAUCUGGGUAGGGGCUGAGUGGUUAGAGAGAGAGAGAGAGACCAUCUGGGUAGGGGCUGAGUGGUUAGAGAGAGAGACCAUCUGGGUAGGGGCUGAGUGGUUAGAGAGAGAGACCAUCUGGGUAGGGGCUGAGUGGUUAGAGAGAGAGAGACCAUCUGGGUAGGGGCUGAGUGGUUAGAGAGAGAGAGAGACCAUCUGGGUAGGGGCUGAGUGGUUAGAGAGAGAGAGACCAUCUGGGUAGGGGCUGAGUGGUUAGAGAUGAUAGGAUAGUAGAGGAGAGAGUAGUGAGAGAGAGAGAGAGAGAGAGAGAGAGAGAG